This 253-nucleotide ribosomal RNA is filed under the name uncultured bacterium. Its description in RNAcentral is "partial 16S ribosomal RNA". It matches the Rfam family "Bacterial small subunit ribosomal RNA", at positions 524 to 776 of the family's 1533-position model. The record is from RNAcentral.
UACGUAGGGGGCUAGCGUUGUCCGGAAUCAUUGGGCGUAAAGAGCGCGUAGGCGGCCCGGUAAGUCCGCUGUGAAAGUCGGGGGCUCAACCCUCGAAUGCCGGUGGAUACUGUCGGGCUAGAGUGCGGAAGAGGCGAGUGGAAUUCCUGGUGUAGCGGUGAAAUGCGCAGAUAUCAGGAGGAACACCGGUGGCGAAGGCGGUGGUCUGGGCCGGCACUGACGCUGAGGAGCGAAAGCGUGGGGAGCGAACAGG